RNAcentral lists this ribosomal RNA (774 nucleotides) under uncultured Neocallimastigales. RNAcentral describes it as "partial large subunit ribosomal RNA". It matches the Rfam family "Eukaryotic large subunit ribosomal RNA", at positions 26 to 644 of the family's 3401-position model. Lineage: Eukaryota; Fungi; Neocallimastigomycota; Neocallimastigomycetes; Neocallimastigales. The record is from RNAcentral.
CGCAUCUGUGCAUGCAGCAUAUCAAUAAGCGGAGGAAAAGAAACUAACAAGGAUUCCCUUAGUAACGGCGAGUGAAGCGGGAAGAGCUCAAAUUUGAAAUCUUCAAGGUUUUACCUUGACGAAUUGUAGUUUAAAGAAGUGUUUUCUGUUGAAGUUUUGGUAAAAGUUCUUUGAAAUAGGACAUCAUAGAGGGUGAGAAUCCCGUAUUUGACCAUUAUUUUCAGCUGUGUGAUACACUUUCAAAGAGUCGGAUUGUUUGGGAAUGCAGUCCAAAAUGGGUGGUAAAUUUCAUCUAAAGCUAAAUAUUGGCGAGAGACCGAUAGCGAACAAGUACCGUGAGGGAAAGAUGAAAAGAACUUUGAAAAGAGAGUUAAACAGUACGUGAAAUUGUCAAAAGGGAAGCGUUUGACACCAGUGUUGUUUUCUCGAAAAUCAAUUAAAAAGAGUUAGAUUUUGUUGUGUAUUGACCUUAACAGCUUGCAUUUCAAUUUUCUUGCUUUUUUUAAUGCACUUUUCGUUUAACAAGUCAACAUCAGUUUCUUUUGUUGUAAAAAGGUCAUUGGAAGGUGGCUUUCUUUUCGGAGAAAGUGUUUAUAGCCUUUGACUCCUGCAAUCGGAGAGACUGAGGUCUGCAGCGUAGAUCCUUCGGGGUUAGAUACAUUUGUGCUAAGUUAUAGCUUUUUAUAGACAACUUGUUGACUAUGAUUAGUCUUGUAGCUUACUCGCUUAUGCUAUUUUACCUACGCUUAGGAUGUUGACACACGCGCGUGCUCG